CCCGCACAAGCGGAGGAGCAUGUGGUUUAAUUCGAUGAUACGCGAGGAACCUUACCUGGGCUCGAACGUAAGAUGACUGUAGGUGAAAGCUUACAUCUCUUCGGAGCAUUUUACGAGGUGCUGCAUGGUUGUCGUCAGCUCGUGCCGUGAGGUGUCGGGUUAAGUCCCAUAACGAGCGCAACCCUACCUUUAGUUGCCAUCAGGUAAUGCUGGGGACUCUAAAGGAACUGCCUACGCAAGUAGUGAGGAAGGCGGGGAUGACGUCAAAUCAGCACGGCCCUUACGUCCAGGGCUACACACGUGCUACAAUGGCCGAUACAGAGGGCAGCUACCUGGUGACAGGAUGCAAAUCUCCAAAGUCGGUCUCAGUUCGGAUCGGAGUCUGCAACCCGACUCCGUGAAGUUGGAUUCGCUAGUAAUCGCGCAUCAGCCAUGGCGCGGUGAAUACGUUCCCGGGCCUU
RNAcentral lists this ribosomal RNA (461 nucleotides) under uncultured Sphingobacteriales bacterium. Its description in RNAcentral is "bacterial SSU rRNA". It matches the Rfam family "Bacterial small subunit ribosomal RNA", at positions 920 to 1382 of the family's 1533-position model. Lineage: Bacteria; Pseudomonadati; Bacteroidota; Sphingobacteriia; Sphingobacteriales. The record is from RNAcentral.